CAGUAGCCGCGGUAACACGGAGGGUGCAAGCGUUAAUCGGAAUUACUGGGCGUAAAGCGCACGCAGGCGGUCUGUCAAGUCGGAUGUGAAAUCCCCGGGCUCAACCUGGGAACUGCAUUCGAAACUGGCAGGCUAGAGUCUUGUAGAGGGGGGUAGAAUUCCAGGUGUAGCGGUGAAAUGCGUAGAGAUCUGGAGGAAUACCGGUGGCGAAGGCGGCCCCCUGGACAAAGACUGACGCUCAGGUGCGAAAGCGUGGGGAGCAAACAGGAUUAGAUACCCCAGUAGUCCCUGUCUCUUAUAA
Molecule: ribosomal RNA, 301 nt
Filed under: uncultured bacterium
Lineage: Bacteria
Description: partial 16S ribosomal RNA
Rfam family: Bacterial small subunit ribosomal RNA
Source: RNAcentral